CGGCAAGGGCGGCAGGCUUACCAUGCAAGUCGAGCGGGCCCUUCGGGGUCAGCGGCAGACGGGUGAGUAACGCGUGGGAACGUACCAUUUGCUACGGAAUAACUCAGGGAAACUUGUGCUAAUACCGUAUGAGCCCCCCUUUAAAAUUUCAGGAAUCAUAAAAUGCCCUGGCAUUUUAUGGGGGGGAAAGAUUUAUCGGCAAAUGAUCGGCCCGCGUUGGAUUAGCUAGUUGGUGGGGUAAAGGCCUACCAAGGCGACGAUCCAUAGCUGGUCUGAGAGGAUGAUCAGCCACACUGGGACUGAGACACGGCCCAGACUCCUACGGGAGGCAGCAGUGGGGAAUAUUGGACAAUGGGCGCAAGCCUGAUCCAGCCAUGCCGCGUGAGUGAUGAAGGCCCUAGGGUUGUAAAGCUCUUUCACCGGUGAAGAUAAUGACGGUAACCGGAGAAGAAGCCCCGGCUAACUUCGUGCCAGCAGCCGCGGUAAUACGAAGGGGGCUAGCGUUGUUCGGAUUUACUGGGCGUAAAGCGCACGUAGGCGGGCUAAUAAGUCAGGGGUGAAAUCCCGGGGCUCAACCCCGGAACUGCCUUUGAUACUGUUAGUCUUGAGUAUGGUAGAGGUGAGUGGAAUUCCAAGUGUAAAGGUGAAAUUCGUAUAUAGUCGGACGAUCACCAGUGGUAAAGGAGGAUCACUGAUCCAGUACUGUC
RNAcentral lists this ribosomal RNA (707 nucleotides) under Brucella ciceri. RNAcentral's name for it is "bacterial SSU rRNA". It matches the Rfam family "Bacterial small subunit ribosomal RNA", at positions 34 to 744 of the family's 1533-position model. The record is from RNAcentral. Lineage: Bacteria; Pseudomonadati; Pseudomonadota; Alphaproteobacteria; Hyphomicrobiales; Brucellaceae.